RNAcentral lists this ribosomal RNA (460 nucleotides) under uncultured bacterium. RNAcentral's name for it is "partial 16S ribosomal RNA". It matches the Rfam family "Bacterial small subunit ribosomal RNA", at positions 338 to 795 of the family's 1533-position model. The record is from RNAcentral.
CCUACGGGUGGCUGCAGUGAGGAAUAUUGGUCAAUGGGCGAGAGCCUGAACCAGCCAAGUCGCGUGAAGGAUGACGGCCCUACGGGUUGUAAACUUCUUUUGUCAGGGAGCAAUUGGCUCCACGCGUGGGCUUAGCGUUGUUACCUGAAGAAAAAGCAUCGCCUAACUCCGUGCCCUCACCCGCGGUAAUACGAAGGAUGCGAGCGUUAUCCGGAUUUAUUGGGUUUAAAGGGUGCCUAGGCGGAAUAUCAAGUCAGCGGUAAAAAUUCGGGGCUAAACCCCGUCGUGCAGUUGAAACUGAUGUUCUAGAGUGGGCGAGAAGUAUGCGGAAUGCGUGGUGUAGCGGUGAAAUGCAUAGAUAUCACGCAGAACUCCGAUUGCGAAGGCAGCAUACCGGCGCCCAACUGACGCUGAAGCACGAAAGCGUGGGGAUCAAACAGGAUUAGAUACCCUGGUAGUC